Molecule: ribosomal RNA, 497 nt
Filed under: uncultured bacterium
Lineage: Bacteria
Description: partial 16S ribosomal RNA
Rfam family: Bacterial small subunit ribosomal RNA
Source: RNAcentral
GAUGAACGCUGGCGGCGUGCCUAAUACAUGCAAGUCGAGCGAACAGACGAGGAGCUUGCUCCUCUGACGUUAGCGGCGGACGGGUGAGUAACACGUGGAUAACCUACCUAUAAGACUGGGAUAACUUCGGGAAACCGGAGCUAAUACCGGAUAAUAUAUUGAACCGCAUGGUUCAAUAGUGAAAGACGGUUUUGCUGUCACUUAUAGAUGGAUCCGCGCCGCAUUAGCUAGUUGGUAAGGUAACGGCUUACCAAGGCAACGAUGCGUAGCCGACCUGAGAGGGUGAUCGGCCACACUGGAACUGAGACACGGUCCAGACUCCUACGGGAGGCAGCAGUAGGGAAUCUUCCGCAAUGGGCGAAAGCCUGGCGGAGCAACGCCGCGUGAGUGAUGAAGGUCUUCGGAUCGUAAAACUCUGUUAUUAGGGAAGAACAAAUGUGUAAGUAACUAUACACGUCUUGACGGUACCUAAUCAGAAAGCCACGGCUAACUACGUG